This 1490-nucleotide ribosomal RNA is filed under the name Lactiplantibacillus plantarum. RNAcentral describes it as "bacterial SSU rRNA". It matches the Rfam family "Bacterial small subunit ribosomal RNA". The record is from RNAcentral. Lineage: Bacteria; Bacillati; Bacillota; Bacilli; Lactobacillales; Lactobacillaceae.
GGGGCGUGCUAUACAUGCAAGUCGAACGAACUCUGGUAUUGAUUGGUGCUUGCAUCAUGAUUUACAUUUGAGUGAGUGGCGAACUGGUGAGUAACACGUGGGAAACCUGCCCAGAAGCGGGGGAUAACACCUGGAAACAGAUGCUAAUACCGCAUAACAACUUGGACCGCAUGGUCCGAGUUUGAAAGAUGGCUUCGGCUAUCACUUUUGGAUGGUCCCGCGGCGUAUUAGCUAGAUGGUGGGGUAACGGCUCACCAUGGCAAUGAUACGUAGCCGACCUGAGAGGGUAAUCGGCCACAUUGGGACUGAGACACGGCCCAAACUCCUACGGGAGGCAGCAGUAGGGAAUCUUCCACAAUGGACGAAAGUCUGAUGGAGCAACGCCGCGUGAGUGAAGAAGGGUUUCGGCUCGUAAAACUCUGUUGUUAAAGAAGAACAUAUCUGAGAGUAACUGUUCAGGUAUUGACGGUAUUUAACCAGAAAGCCACGGCUAACUACGUGCCAGCAGCCGCGGUAAUACGUAGGUGGCAAGCGUUGUCCGGAUUUAUUGGGCGUAAAGCGAGCGCAGGCGGUUUUUUAAGUCUGAUGUGAAAGCCUUCGGCUCAACCGAAGAAGUGCAUCGGAAACUGGGAAACUUGAGUGCAGAAGAGGACAGUGGAACUCCAUGUGUAGCGGUGAAAUGCGUAGAUAUAUGGAAGAACACCAGUGGCGAAGGCGGCUGUCUGGUCUGUAACUGACGCUGAGGCUCGAAAGUAUGGGUAGCAAACAGGAUUAGAUACCCUGGUAGUCCAUACCGUAAACGAUGAAUGCUAAGUGUUGGAGGGUUUCCGCCCUUCAGUGCUGCAGCUAACGCAUUAAGCAUUCCGCCUGGGGAGUACGGCCGCAAGGCUGAAACUCAAAGGAAUUGACGGGGGCCCGCACAAGCGGUGGAGCAUGUGGUUUAAUUCGAAGCUACGCGAAGAACCUUACCAGGUCUUGACAUACUAUGCAAAUCUAAAAGAUUAGACGUUCCCUUCGGGGACAUGGAUACAGGUGGUGCAUGGUUGUCGUCAGCUCGUGUCGUGAGAUGUUGGGUUAAGUCCCGCAACGAGCGCAACCCUUAUUAUCAGUUGCCAGCAUUAAGUUGGGCACUCUGGUGAGACUGCCGGUGACAAACCGGAGGAAGGUGGGGAUGACGUCAAAUCAUCAUGCCCCUUAUGACCUGGGCUACACACGUGCUACAAUGGAUGGUACAACGAGUUGCGAACUCGCGAGAGUAAGCUAAUCUCUUAAAGCCAUUCUCAGUUCGGAUUGUAGGCUGCAACUCGCCUACAUGAAGUCGGAAUCGCUAGUAAUCGCGGAUCAGCAUGCCGCGGUGAAUACGUUCCCGGGCCUUGUACACACCGCCCGUCACACCAUGAGAGUUUGUAACACCCAAAGUCGGUGGGGUAACCUUUUAGGAACCAGCCGCCUAAGGUGGGACAGAUGAUUAGGGUGAAGUCGUAACACGU